GAUAAACGCUGGCGGCGUGCUUUAUGCAUGCAAGUCGAACGGUUCCGAUUUAUCGGAACAGUGGCAGACGGGUGAGUAACACGUAAGUAACCUGCCCCCAAGUAGGGAAUAACUCUGAGAAAUUGGAGCUAAUACCGUAUGUGUUGGUGAGGGUAAGGCCUCAUCAAUAAAGUCUUAGGACGCUUGGGGAGGGGCUUGCGGCCGAUUAGCUAGUUGGUAGGGUAAUGGUCUACCAAGGCGAUGAUCGGUAGCUGGUUUGAGAGGACGGUCAGCCACACUGGGACUGAGACACGGCCCAGACUCCUACGGGAGGCAGCAGCAAGGAAUAUUGUGCAAUGGGCGAAAGCCUGACACAGCGACGCCGCGUGAGGGAUGAAGGCCUUCGGGUUGUAAACCUCUUUUCUCAGGGAAGAAAAAUGACGGUACCUGAGGAAUAAGUCUUGCUAACU
This 449-nucleotide ribosomal RNA is filed under the name uncultured bacterium. RNAcentral describes it as "bacterial SSU rRNA". It matches the Rfam family "Bacterial small subunit ribosomal RNA", at positions 28 to 502 of the family's 1533-position model. The record is from RNAcentral.